Molecule: long non-coding RNA, 763 nt
Organism: Gossypium arboreum
Lineage: Eukaryota; Viridiplantae; Streptophyta; Magnoliopsida; Malvales; Malvaceae
Exons: 3
Source: RefSeq, a predicted model, not a curated record
AAAAAAAAGCCCUAAAAUGGACGAACUCGAUUAAUUCUUCGAUUUCUUCAAAGCUCUGGGCUCUUUUAAUGUUCUCAAUUUACUUCAAAGCCCGUUUCUUAAUUCCCAGGUUUUCAUAAAUAAAAUGGAAUCUACCAUGAAAAUUUCGUCUUCAAUAACGUUUCCUAUAAAUUCAACACCAAAAUUACAUGAAUAUAACAAAGUUUUGUAUUGGUCCGCUGUAUCCAAUGGAAGCUACUCCAUAUCCAAAAUCAGCGACAUUUUCUCAAAUGGCUCUGCUUCUCAUGGGGCUGAGUCAAGGGCACUGGGAGAUGCGUAGGGACGAAGAAGUCGUCUAGAAUCUCUAUUUUGUUAUGAUAAGCCUAUCCCCAAGGAAUGAAUUGAAGAACCAGUUGGGGUAUCUUUGGCUGAAAAAAAUAGUUGGAGAUAAUCCCCGGUGUAGUGCUUGUCAGGCCAAAGGUGUCGUCCUUUGUACCACUUCUGCUGGUUCUGGAUUAUAUGUGGACUCGAUAUUGGAGAGCCAGGGUAUCAUUGUCAAAGUCCGCUGCCUAGUGUUCAGGUUGUGGAGGAACCGGCAAUGUCAUGUGCUCAGAAUGCGGUGGCCGUGGUCAUCGAGGACCCAAGUAACUUGUGGUUGGCAGCCUUCUAUAUGUAGCAUUUACACAUUGUAAUUUCAUUUUGUUUCUAGCUGUGUAAUUCUUUUACAUUAAAUUGAUGUAUUUGACUCCUGCAAUUUCUAAUGGCAUUUGCCUUCAUUUUAAAA